GCCCACCUUCCAGUAAUGGGUUGACAGGGUGGACAAAAUCAAUGCAAUGGAAACAAUGACUGCAGUCUCACAGGGUCGCUCUGAUAAGUGUACCCAGACAUGGGCCUCAUGGUUUAUGUACAUAACCGCGAAUCAUUCAAGCGCCAAAACUAACUCUCAUUUCCCCACCCUGCCCCCUCACCCCUCUUUCCUUUUCCUUCCUUUCCCUUUUUUUCACUUCUCUGACCCCCUCACCACCAUGACUGCCAACAACCCAACUGACCUGAUCACUCUACCCCCUGGAUUGGAGACGAACACUCACUCGGACGUUCACCACUCACCAGCAAUACAUCCCUAAUCCGGCCUGAAGAUCCUGUAGGACACAAUUCCCAGCUACCACUACUCCCCUUCCAUACCACAUGUUACACAAACGUGCUACUGAAC
Molecule: non-coding RNA, 423 nt
Organism: Pelobates cultripes (western spadefoot toad)
Lineage: Eukaryota; Metazoa; Chordata; Amphibia; Anura; Pelobatidae
Source: the annotation of a GenBank genome assembly